AGAGUUUGAUCAUGGCUCAGAGCGAACGCUGGCGGCAUGCUUAACACAUGCAAGUCGCACGGUUGGAGCAAUCCAACAGUGGCGGACGGGUGAGUAACGCGUGGGAAUCUGUCUCCGGGUGGGGGAUAACGAUGGGAAACUAUCGCUAAUACCGCAUGAUGCCCGAGGGCCAAAGGCGCAAGCCGCCUGGAGAGGAGCCC
This 200-nucleotide ribosomal RNA is filed under the name uncultured bacterium. Its description in RNAcentral is "partial 16S ribosomal RNA". It matches the Rfam family "Bacterial small subunit ribosomal RNA", at positions 8 to 232 of the family's 1533-position model. The record is from RNAcentral.